AACGAACGCUGGCGGCAUGCCUAACACAUGCAAGUCGAACGAGACCUUCGGGUCUAGUGGCGCACGGGUGCGUAACGCGUGGGAACCUGCCCUUAGGUUCGGAAUAACUCCCCGACAGGGGUACUAAUACCGGAUAAUGUCUUCGGCCCAAAGAUUUAUCGAAUUUGGUUGGGCCGGCGUUGGAUUAGCUAGUUGGUAGGGUAAAAGCCUACUAAGGCGACGAUCCAUAGCUGGUCUGAGAGGAUGAUCAGCCACACUGGGAUUGAGACACGGCCCAGACUCCUACGGGAGGCAGCAGUGGGUAAUAUUGGACAGUGGGCUAAAGCCUGAUCCAGCAAUGCCGCGUGAGUGAUGAAGGCCUUAGGGUUGUAAAGCUCUUGUACCCGGGAUGAUAAUGACGGUACCUGGAGAAAAAGCUACGGCUAACUCCGUG
This 433-nucleotide ribosomal RNA is filed under the name uncultured bacterium. RNAcentral describes it as "partial 16S ribosomal RNA". It matches the Rfam family "Bacterial small subunit ribosomal RNA", at positions 29 to 507 of the family's 1533-position model. The record is from RNAcentral.